Molecule: long non-coding RNA, 6219 nt
Organism: Mytilus californianus (California mussel)
Lineage: Eukaryota; Metazoa; Mollusca; Bivalvia; Mytilida; Mytilidae
Exons: 2
Source: RefSeq, a predicted model, not a curated record
GAUGCCACAAUAUUUAUUUUUUGAGUCUAUGAUAGUGUAUCAUAAGCAUUUCCUAAUGGGAUUUAAGUAAAUAGACUUAAAUUCAGUUAUCGCUGGGGCCACUGACGGAUUGUGUUUCAUAUUUUAGAUUUACCUAACAUGAGUGACGUUAUAUUCUGUGACGUAAUUUAGUCCUUUACAGAAUUUCAUCGCAGCAAGCAAGCUGUUUAAAUUUCGUAAGCGGUAAAAUUGAAAAAAUUGAAAAGUAGUAUCUUGUAAAUGGUAAAGUAGUGUUUGUAUUGUAUGGUUAUAACCUGCCUCAUGCUUCCAAUGUUUAUUAGAAGUAAUCUUAAAAAGAAUUCAUUUUAUCGAUCGUCAGUUUUUUAACCAUAUUCCAUCAGGAAUUUCAUCGCCACGUGGAGAGCACAUGCAAAGACUGAAAGAGAUUGGUCCCAUUAUUAGUUUUCAUUUUUAUAAAUUAUUUAAUUUUUACAAAUAUGAGUAAUUAGAUGCAUUAUUGUCCUAAGAUUUGCAGAUUAUAAUAAUGAUUUCGUCAUUGUAUUUCUACAUCAAAUUAGAUGCAUGUAUAUAGUCUGACUGGUACUGAUAUUAAGGUACUCAUAUAUAUAUAUAUGACGACUACUUUGAUAGUCGAGUUUGGCAUAUUUUAACACCGUUAUUGCUAGGAUUUCAUACUCCUGUGGCCUAACAAUUGUAUUUGCGCUGUAACAGAUCAUGCAGGUUAGUAACGUGUCUUUAAUGGUUAUGUGUUGUGGGGCAGGCGUUAUCUGAUGUACUCCCGAAUUAUAAUUAAAUUUUCCUUAAAAGGGUAUACAUCGGUAAUUGUGUAUCUAGAUCUUUCAUAGCACAUAUACAGCAAAUAUUCCAUGAAAGGAUAUGAACGUACAAAGGUGUAAAAGGGACGUACCCUUUGGGGCGAAAGGACCCAGGUUCGUAACCGAAAGUUCAACUUUCGAUACAAAUAAACAAAAAUCUUGGAAAUCUUGCACAUAGACCAUGCCCGGAGUUAAGAAGCAGUAGCCAAAAAUCGUCAUGUCUAAAUGUUAGCUUGCUGGUGGAGUUAAGCAAACAUAUAUCAUUAUCUGUAUAUAUCCUGCUAUAAAUUUUGCGUGUACCUACACACUUGUUACUAAAAACUGUCAGAGUGUCGAGUCUGUCACAUCAGUCAUCAUAGUGACAUGUAUAGUUGCUACUACUCUCUAGCCUAGACUAGGUCGAUAUGCACAAUGUUGGGAAGAUCAGUUAGAAAGCGAAAAGUGCGACCUUGCUCUGCCACAGAACACCACCAGGGUUGUAACAGUUGGACCAGAGACAUAGACAACAAUGACACAUCAGUUUUUACAAAUGGGUCACCAGACUGAACUGGAUUCACGACUCAUAACGCCACCAACUCAACUCCUUUAGGUCACAUAUAUUUGUACAUUGGAUCAUCAUCAGACGUCAUUUAUGCAAACCCCCAGAGCUCUGCAUUAGUAUGUUCCAGUUCACAGUUGAUAAUUUACCAGGUAAUCAUCAGAUUUACAAAAGCAGUAUGUUACUUUUAAGUUAAACCUCUACAUGUACAUGUGAUUCUAACAUAUAACAAACAUAUGUAUAAAGAUUAAGGCAACUUUUAUUUUUUUUUCCAAUCUUAUGGUUUAGAUUUAAAAGAUUGUGUAAUAAUUAUAUCUCAGUUUCUAAACUUAAAUCCACAAAAUAUUGCUGAAUGUGUUAUUUUUACAAUUUAUAGGGGAUGCCACUUCAUGCGUUAGAAAUAAAAAACAAUUCUUAAAUAUAAGGUUACAAUUAUAUAUUAUUAUAAAUAUAUUACAUGUGAAACUUUUAAAUGUUGUUUUGUAUAUUAUCAUAUGAUUUGUGACAUAUGAUUUGUAAUGGAGAACACUAUUGACUAAUAUAAUAUUAUUUAUCUUGAUACAUAAUCUGAAUAUUACAAAUCGAUAUGCAUGUACUGCAUGAAUACAGAUGUUGCAAUAAAGUACCACAAUUAUAAAGGACAAAAUUUAUAGAAGUGUAUAUUUAUUGAUCACUAUUUUAGGACAGACUGCAAAUAUUUCUGUUUGUCCAAACCCUACCAACAAGUCUCAGGUGUGUGGGAAAUUUUCAUUAUUUUUAAUUUUAUUUUUUUUAUAUAUUUAAUGGAAAAUAGGGGCCAAAAUGGUUUUAUUUUGUAAACAUUUUUAAAAUGAGACUAUUACAGAGUUUUGUGUAAAUUGUCAGACGCAGAUAAGCGAGGAUAUAUACAUGUAUGUACAUGUAAUAUUAGCACAAACUAGUACAAUUUAAGUAAUUAUUUACAGCUUGUCUUGCAGUCUGCUCCAAACCAGUUAAAAAUCUUUAGUAUUUAGGUGUCGACAACAGCUUUAAUUUAUAUAUAUACUAGAUUUUAUUGUAAUCUUUAUCCUGAAAGAUUCUAGGAGUUGCUCAAAUAGAUGAGUAUCUUAUGCUGUACAUUUAGGGGCCAAGCUUUGUUAAUUUUAGGCUGGAAGCAUUAUGACAACAAUUUCAUUUGCAUAAAACCAUUGGCCCUACUGGUUGCUGGGCUACUGUUGAUUCCAAAUUAUGGUUGAUAUUUAUUAAUGAAAAUUAUAGUACAGGUUGAAUUUCAGUUAGCAUGAACACCGGGACUAAUUUGAAAUGUUAUGCUUUUAAUUAUGAGGGUACCUAGAUGUUGUUAAGCAGCUUGUUUGUGUGUCAUCCUUUAUAACUUGUUGGUUGUCCUAACAGGAGACAUUAACCAUGUUUACUUUGCAUAAUCUAGGCCUUCUUAUGAUAUUCCAAGUUUCAGGUCACCUAGACCUCGAAUGGAAAUAAGUUUUCAUUUGGGCAACCUGGUUCAAACCCAAGACGAGACAGAGAGUGGUUGCUGCUGUUAUACUAAAUGUUUGUUUCUUCUUACAUAGAUUUAGACUCUAGUAUACAGGUCCUCAUAGUCAUUCUUUGAAAUUUGCAUUUGCCUGAGUUGAUCCAGUUCUUCUUGCCUUGUAUUUAUGGGCAGUUUUAUUACAUUAUAAGAAAUUCACUUCUACAUAGACAUCUUACACAUUCAGGUAUUUCCCAUCCAAUCUUUUAUGGUAAUAUACCUUACAAAGUACAAAAUGUCAGUUUACCUCAAAAGCUAACAAAACAUUAAAGCAAACUUAUAAAGAAGGAAUACUGUUGCCUGCAUAAAAAAUGGCAUAUUUUGGCUUCAAUAUUGAUUCACUUGCACAGUCUUUGCAUCGGACAAAAACUCAUUUAUUCUUAAACCAGUUGCUGGUUGAUACGGGUUAUGUUCCUCUAAUAUAUGUUAUGAUGAUAUGAUACUAAACCCCCAUUGGAGGGAUGGUGCUAGAUAUUUCAUAUAAUGAAGACAUAAUCUUUCGAACAGUUAAAUUGAGGUCUGGAGCUGGCAUGUCAGUAACUGUUAGUAGUCCAUUGUUGAUUUAUGUAAUGUCGUCAUUUUUCAAUUUUUGUUUUGUUUGUUUUGUUACCUAUUCUGAUAUUGGACUCGGACUUCUUUAAACUGUGUGAUUUUUACUGUGCGUAUUACUGUGUGUUUGUUUGCUCUGCAUUUGGUUGAGAUUUUAAAUAACUUGUUUAACCCCUGCGCAAUUUAGUACCUGUUCCAAGUCUGGAGCCUCUGGCCUAUGUUAGCCUUGUAUGAAUUUUUAUUUUAGUUCAUAUAUUUGGGAGUUUAGUAUGACAUUCAUUAUCACUGUUCUGGUACAAAUUUUUCAUUAUGGCUGAAGCCAUUUCUGGUUUUUAGGUGGAUCGCGUCAGAUGCUUGUUCCCAACUGCAGAUGUUUAUCCUGCUAUAACCCCACGGGUUUUAUUACUGUUAUUUCAGACCUUUAGUAACCAUUUAAUUGUAAGUUCCACAGCACCCAGUACAUACAGAUGUAUCAGAGAGGACAGUCUUUCUUUUUUCAUGAGUUCAGAUCUCUAAUUGUUUUAAUGAAUACAUUUCCUAUCUCUCUCUAUGAAUUGUUAAGGUAUUGCUUACUUGUACAUUUUGUAUCUCUCUCAACAAAAAUUGUGACAUUACUUUUACUAGGUUUGGAUAUUUUUCUAGGAAAAUUUAACAGAUGUGUCAAAAAAUAAAUUUGAGGUUUGUCAGUUUUUAAGAAGUAUUAAACACUCCAGGCCUUUACAUUUACCUUAACCAGAGUCAUGCUGAAGUCUAGCAAAUAUUUCCUUAUCUUGUUGUUGGUUAAACUUGGUAUGAAUUCAGUGUGUUUGAAGCUGUCUUUUCAAUUGUUUUUGAGGAUUAUUAAAGGGUCGGAGAUCCAAUGGUGACAACUUAAGACAGGGGUUACAGAAGAAUUAUUAUUUUUCUUGAUUAAUUAUGCUUUAAAUUGUAUUGGUAUUACAUAUGUAACAUAUACUUCCAUGUAGCAAUUUGCUGUACAAGAAUUGUAGGAGAUCCUAUUAGCUUGAUGUUUGGAUAGUAGAAUCCUCAAUAGUAAGUAUGUUUUUGUAGCAGACCGACAUCCUCCAGAUGGGGUUGACGUAGGUCUAGGCACGGAAAUGAAUCUUUGUGGUGGCAUGAUUGUCAAGCAUGUUAAAAGUUAACUCAGAACAUGAAACUAUGAGGAUCCACCAUAUUUCUUAAUAAAACAUGUAGCAGGAAACGACACAGGUAGUUUUAGAGUGGGAUUUUUGCACAAUGAGAUGAAGAACAUGAUCAGAUGGAUUAUGCGGUUCAUCAAUUCUUAAGUACGUAUGGUCUCAAAUUUGACCAGGUUAUUGCAAAGCAUGGACUUGUUUUGCUAUAGAAUAUACAACUAUAUUAUUGCCUUUAUAAUUAGCUGUCAGGGUUGCUACAUAAAAUAUUAUGAUUUUCGAUCAGACCAGAAAUUUUUCAACUGGAUGUUUUUCACUUGUCACCCUUAACAUGCUUAUGAAAUGAAUUGUUAAACAUCUUGAAUAUAUAUUUGAUGAUAUACUAUAAUAUACUAUAUGUUAUGGUAUACAAAUACAAUCAACUAUCUUAUGGUUUGGUGUAGUUUUGGUUAGUAUUUUUUAUCUGUGUAGGUAAAUAUGUUUUUGAACAGUUGUUCACAAAACAUCAUAUAGAUUAUUUAACAUAUAUAUGUACCAAGUUGUACUUUGAAUAAAAAUAUCUAUCUAUCUAUCUGUAGUUAUCUCAUAUCUGGUUCACAGCUUUGCAGCGAACCGCCCUUUUUAUGGCGGUUGACAGAGUCUCUGUUUUCCUCCGUCAAUGUGGCAGAAUUCGCUGCAUAGAAUCUUAAUGUUAACUAUGAAAUUUUAGGUUUUUGGAUAAUACAGACUACACUUGUGUAUCCCACGGUGUUUUCUAAAUUUAAAGCACCAGUGUAUCCCACGGUGCAUCUUUACAUUUUCAUAUAUAUCUAUCUAUCUAUCUGCAUUUUGCAGCAAGGUUGCCAUAUUAUCUUCGGGUAACCAACCAUAUAUCUAUCUACAUAUACAUAUACAUCUAUCUAUAUAUAUAUAUAUAUAUAUAUCAUAUGAAUCUAUAUUAUGAAUAAAAGCUGUGGCCAGAUAUCGCCAAACCAAUAUAUGUAUUUUGUUUUAAUGGCACCAUCUGAGAUAAUGGAAUUUAAGUAAAUAGACUUAAAUUCAGUUAUCGCUGGGGCCACUGACGGAUUGUGUUUCAUGUUUUAGAUUUACCUAACAUGAGUGACGUUAUAUUCUGUGACGUAAUUUAGUCCUUUACAGAAUUUCAUCGCAGCAAGCAAGCUGUUUAAAUUUCGUAAGCGGUAAAAUUGAAAACCCGCCCUCCCACUCCUUUUUUUUUUACGAGAUACUGCUCUUUUGUAUUUAUUUUUCAGGUUUUUGUCGGUGACAGUGGUAAUACAGAUUUGACUGAUGAUGUUAACUUGUUUGCGGUUGAGAAAAGUGACUUUUAUUUGAACUUUGAGCAUCAUAAAUAGAUUCCCGUAAUGGCAGAAUUCGCUGCAUAGAAUCUUAAUGUUAACUAUGAAAUUUUAGGUUUUUGGAUAAUAGAGACUACACUUGUGUAUCCCACGGUGUUUUCUAAAUUUAAAGCACCAGUGUAUCCCACGGUGCAUCUUUACAUUUUCAUAUAUAUCUAUCUAUAUAUCUGCAUUUUGCAGCAAGGUUGCCAUAUUAUCUUCGGGUAACCAACCAUUUAUCUAUCUACAUAUACAUAUACAUCUAUCUAUCUAUAUAUAUAUAUAUAUAUCAUAUGAAUCUAUAUUAUGAAUAAAAGCUGUGGCCAGAUAUCGCCAAACCAUA